Molecule: unclassified non-coding RNA, 413 nt
Filed under: soil metagenome
Description: partial contains 5.8S ribosomal RNA, internal transcribed spacer 2, and large subunit ribosomal RNA
Rfam family: 5.8S ribosomal RNA (bases 1-120)
Source: RNAcentral
GAUGAAGAACGCAGCGAAAUGCGAUAAGUAAUGUGAAUUGCAGAAUUCAGUGAAUCAUCGAAUCUUUGAACGCACCUUGCGCUCUUUGGUAUUCCGAAGAGCAUGCCUGUUUGAGUGUCAUGAAAAUAUCAACCUUGACUUGGGUUUUGUGCUCUAGUCUCGGCUUGGAAUUGGGUGCUUGCCGCUUUUACGAGCGGCUCACCUUAAAUGUAUUAGCUGGAUCUGUCUUUGAGACUUGGUUUGACUUGGCGUAAUAAGUAUUUCGCUAAGGACAUUCUUCGGAGUGGCCUCGUUUCUAGGACGCUUGUCCGCUUUCCAAUACAAGUUCCACCUCGUGGACAUGACUUUUUAUUAUCUGGCCGCAAAUCAGGUAGGACUACCCGCUGAACUUAAGCAUAUCAAUAAGCGGAGGA